GCACCCUGAUCUGCACGCCCUGGUGGGCGCCCGCUGUCCUGCGUGCGAGGAUGUCCCUGGAGGAGGCAUCUUGGUGCAGAGGGGCCCGUGAGAGGUGUCUCAAUCCUGCCAGGAAGCAGCUGGACCAUGGUGCUCCUGAGGAGUGUCUCAUCGUGCUGCUCCAUGUACAUCGUGAGAGGUGUCCUAGCGUGGAUUGUGAGGUCCCAGAUGGGUGUGCUGUGUGCAGAGGCUCCGUGGGACAUGUCGUUUUCAUAGCGGGGCGCUAGACCGUGGGGUCCCAAGGUCUCAGCCUUAGAUGCAGAGACCAUGCAAAGAAGUCCCAAGGCCAUGCAAUCAGUGACCCCUGGGAUGACCUAGGCCUCUGGGUUUGCCGAUAAUUUUCACCAUGGU
Molecule: long non-coding RNA, 390 nt
Organism: Propithecus coquereli (Coquerel's sifaka)
Lineage: Eukaryota; Metazoa; Chordata; Mammalia; Primates; Indriidae
Exons: 5
Source: RefSeq, a predicted model, not a curated record